Molecule: transfer RNA, 70 nt
Filed under: Allobates sp. Neblina
Lineage: Eukaryota; Metazoa; Chordata; Amphibia; Anura; Aromobatidae
Description: tRNA-Val
Rfam family: tRNA
About the family: Transfer RNA (tRNA) molecules are approximately 80 nucleotides in length. Their secondary structure includes four short double-helical elements and three loops (D, anti-codon, and T loops).
Source: RNAcentral
CAAAGUAUAGCUUAAUUUAAAGCACUUCGCUUACACCGAGCACAUAUUUGUGAGAACCAAAUUACUCUGA